GGGGUGUUCAUGUUAAAUUGUUAAUUAUAAAGAAAGCUUCUUUUUUCAAAUUUUGGUGAAUGUGGAAUUUUGUUAUAAAAUGGGAUUGCAGCAUUAUUGAAGAUCAUCUGAACAGGCACAAGCGAGGUCCCAGAGGGAUGCUGAGUGGCUAAUAUUGGACUUCUAUUUAAGAAGGGAACAAGGGAAAAUUCUGGUAACUAUAAACUGAGGUAACAAAUCCAGUUGAGUCUGGAGCUGAUUACAAGAUGGAAGGCGCCAUCAGAAUAACAGCCUUCAAAAUCUAAUCGUUUUAUUGCAAAGAAUUUGAAAUGUGCAGGAACAUAAGAAGCUACAGUGAGCAGUGGCUUCUGCCCAAUACAUUCUGGGAAAAUUCCUCCCCACAAUCGGUAGUGCCUACAGGUGGCAAUGUCUCAAGAAGGCAGCAUCUAUCAUCAAAGAGCUCCACUAUCUGGGCCAUGGCAUCUGCUUGCAGCUACAGAAACUUGAAGUCUCACACCACCUGUGUCAAGAAAAGCUGCUUCCCUUCAACCAUCCAGUUCUUGAACAAACUGGCAAAACCCAAAUUACUACAGUUCGGCAACAAUAUGACCACAUUCAAACUUCAAAGUAAACUUAUUAUCUCAGUACAUAUACUGUAUGUUAUUGUAUACUACCUCAAGUUUCAGUUGCUUGCAGCCAUUUACAGGGAAAAAUGAAUUUACAAAAAAAUCUAUACAUAAACUUGUUAAAGACUGACAAACAACUCAUGUGUAA
This is a long non-coding RNA of Mobula hypostoma (lesser devil ray), 753 nucleotides long. RefSeq lists it as uncharacterized. The transcript has 4 exons. The record is from RefSeq and is a predicted model, not a curated record. NCBI's taxonomy places the organism in Eukaryota, Metazoa, Chordata, Chondrichthyes, Myliobatiformes, Myliobatidae.